UACACUCCUACGGGAGGCAGCAGUGGGGAAUAUUGCACAAUGGGCGCAAGCCUGAUGCAGCCAUGCCGCGUGUGUGAAGAAGGCCUUCGGGUUGUAAAGCACUUUCAGCGGGGAGGAAGGCAAUGCGGUUAAUAACCGUGUUGAUUGACGUUACCCGCAGAAGAAGCACCGGCUAACUCCGUGCCAGCAGCCGCGGUAAUACGGAGGGUGCAAGCGUUAAUCGGAAUUACUGGGCGUAAAGCGCACGCAGGCGGUCUGUCAAGUCGGAUGUGAAAUCCCCGGGCUCAACCUGGGAACUGCAUUCGAAACUGGCAGGCUUGAGUCUUGUAGAGGGGGGUAGAAUUCCAGGUGUAGCGGUGAAAUGCGUAGAGAUCUGGAGGAAUACCGGUGGCGAAGGCGGCCCCCUGGACAAAGACUGACGCUCAGGUGCGAAAGCGUGGGGAGCAAACAGGAUUAGAAACCCCGGUAGUCCCA
RNAcentral lists this ribosomal RNA (474 nucleotides) under uncultured organism. RNAcentral's name for it is "partial 16S ribosomal RNA". It matches the Rfam family "Bacterial small subunit ribosomal RNA", at positions 332 to 797 of the family's 1533-position model. The record is from RNAcentral.